GACACGUGGUAUCCUGUCUGAAUAUGGGGGGACCAUCCUCCAAGGCUAAAUACUCCUGACUGACCGAUAGUGAACCAGUACCGUGAGGGAAAGGCGAAAAGAACCCCGGCGAGGGGAGUGAAAAAGAACCUGAAACCGUGUACGUACAAGCAGUGGGAGCACAGGUUUACCUGUGUGACUGCGUACCUUUUGUAUAAUGGGUCAGCGACUUAUAUUCUGUAGCAAGGUUAACCGAAUAGGGGAGCCGGAGGGAAACCGAGUCUUAAUUGGGCGUUAAGUUGCAGGGUAUAGACCCGAAACCCGGUGAUCUAGCCAUGGGCAGGUUGAAGGUUGGGUAACACUAACUGGAGGACCGAACCGACUAAUGUUGAAAAAUUAGCGGAUGACCUGUGGCUGGGGGUGAAAGGCCAAUCAAACCGGGAGAUAGCUGGUUCUCCCCGAAAGCUAUUUAGGUAGCGCCUCGUGAAUUCAUCUCCGGGGGUAGAGCACUGUUUCGGCUAGGGGGCCAUCCCGGCUUACCAACCCGAUGCAAACUGCGAAUACCGGAGAAUGUUAUCACGGGAGACACACGGCGGGUGCUAACGUCCGUCGUGAAGAGGGAAACAACCCAGACCGCCAGCUAAGGUCCCAAAGUCAUGGUUAAGUGGGAAACGAUGUGGGAAGGCCCAGACAGCCAGGAUGUUGGCUUAGAAGCAGCCAUCAUUUAAAGAAAGCGUAAUAGCUCACUGGUCGAGUCGGCCUGCGCGGAAGAUGUAACGGGGCUAAACCAUGCACCGAAGCUGCGGCAGCGACGCUGAUGCGUUGUUGGGUAGGGGAGCGUUCUGUAAGCCUGCGAAGGUGGCCUGUGAGGGUUGCUGGAGGUAUCAGAAGUGCGAAUGCUGACAUAAGUAACGAUAAAGCGGGUGAAAAGCCCGCUCGCCGGAAGACCAAGGGUUCCUGUCCAACGUUAAUCGGGGCAGGGUGAGUCGACCCCUAAGGCGAGGCCGAAAGGCGUAGUCGAUGGGAAACGGGUUAAUAUUCCCGUACUUGGUGUUACUGCGAAGGGGGGACGGAGAAGGCUAUGUUGGCCGGGCGACGGUUGUCCCGGUUUAAGCGUGUAGGUGUGUGUUCCAGGUAAAUCCGGUUCACUUUAACACUGAGGCGUGAUGACGAGGCACUACGGUGCUGAAGCAACAAAUGCCCUGCUUCCAGGAAAAGCCUCUAAGCAUCAGGUAACAUCAAAUCGUACCCCAAACCGACACAGGUGGUCAGGUAGAGAAUACCAAGGCGCUUGAGAGAACUCGGGUGAAGGAACUAGGCAAAAUGGUGCCGUAACUUCGGGAGAAGGCACGCUGACACGUAGGUGAAGUGAUUUACUCAUGGAGCUGAAGUCAGUCGAAGAUACCAGCUGGCUGCAACUGUUUAUUAAAAACACAGCACUGUGCAAACACGAAAGUGGACGUAUACGGUGUGACGCCUGCCCGGUGCCGGAAGGUUAAUUGAUGGGGUCAGCGCAAGCGAAGCUCCUGAUCGAAGCCCCGGUAAACGGCGGCCGUAACUAUAACGGUCCUAAGGUAGCGAAAUUCCUUGUCGGGUAAGUUCCGACCUGCACGAAUGGCGUAAUGAUGGCCAGGCUGUCUCCACCCGAGACUCAGUGAAAUUGAACUCGCUGUGAAGAUGCAGUGUACCCGCGGCAAGACGGAAAGACCCCGUGAACCUUUACUAUAGCUUGACACUGAACAUUGAGCCUUGAUGUGUAGGAUAGGUGGGAGGCUUUGAAGUGUGGACGCCAGUCUGCAUGGAGCCGACCUUGAAAUACCACCCUUUAAUGUUUGAUGUUCUAACGUGGACCCGUGAUCCGGGUUGCGGACAGUGUCUGGUGGGUAGUUUGACUGGGGCGGUCUCCUCCUAAAGAGUAACGGAGGAGCACGAAGGUUGGCUAAUCCUGGUCGGACAUCAGGAGGUUAGUGCAAUGGCAUAAGCCAGCUUGACUGCGAGCGUGACGGCGCGAGCAGGUGCGAAAGCAGGUCAUAGUGAUCCGGUGGUUCUGAAUGGAAGGGCCAUCGCUCAACGGAUAAAAGGUACUCCGGGGAUAACAGGCUGAUACCGCCCAAGAGUUCAUAUCGACGGCGGUGUUUGGCACCUCGAUGUCGGCUCAUCACAUCCUGGGGCUGAAGUAGGUCCCAAGGGUAUGGCUGUUCGCCAUUUAAAGUGGUACGCGAGCUGGGUUUAGAACGUCGUGAGACAGUUCGGUCCCUAUCUGCCGUGGGCGCUGGAGAACUGAGGGGGGCUGCUCCUAGUACGAGAGGACCGGAGUGGACGCAUCACUGGUGUUCGGGUUGUCAUGCCAAUGGCACUGCCCGGUAGCUAAAUGCGGAAGAGAUAAGUGCUGAAAGCAUCUAAGCACGAAACUUGCCCCGAGAUGAGUUCUCCCUGAGACUUUAGGUCUCCUGAAGGAACGUUGAAGACGACGACGUUGAUAGGCCGGGUGUGUAAGCGCAGCGAUGCGUUGAGCUAACCGGUACUAAUGAACCGUGAGGCUUAACCUUACAACGCCGAAG
RNAcentral lists this ribosomal RNA (2540 nucleotides) under Salmonella enterica. RNAcentral describes it as "bacterial LSU rRNA". It matches the Rfam family "Bacterial large subunit ribosomal RNA", at positions 421 to 2925 of the family's 2925-position model. Lineage: Bacteria; Pseudomonadati; Pseudomonadota; Gammaproteobacteria; Enterobacterales; Enterobacteriaceae. The record is from RNAcentral.